AGUUCCAUGGUGCAAUGGUGAGCACUCUGGACUCUGAAUCCAGCGAUCCGAGUUCAAAUCUCGGUAGAACCC
Molecule: transfer RNA, 72 nt
Filed under: Acropora cervicornis
Lineage: Eukaryota; Metazoa; Cnidaria; Anthozoa; Scleractinia; Acroporidae
Description: tRNA-Gln
Rfam family: tRNA
About the family: Transfer RNA (tRNA) molecules are approximately 80 nucleotides in length. Their secondary structure includes four short double-helical elements and three loops (D, anti-codon, and T loops).
Source: RNAcentral